Molecule: ribosomal RNA, 496 nt
Filed under: uncultured bacterium
Lineage: Bacteria
Description: partial 16S ribosomal RNA
Rfam family: Bacterial small subunit ribosomal RNA
Source: RNAcentral
AUGAACGCUGGCGGCGUGCCUAAUACAUGCAAGUCGAGCGAACGGACGAGAAGCUUGCUUCUCUGAUGUUAGCGGCGGACGGGUGAGUAACACGUGGAUAACCUACCUAUAAGACUGGGAUAACUUCGGGAAACCGGAGCUAAUACCGGAUAAUAUUUUGAACCGCAUGGUUCAAAAGUGAAAGACGGUCUUGCUGUCACUUAUAGAUGGAUCCGCGCUGCAUUAGCUAGUUGGUAAGGUAACGGCUUACCAAGGCAACGAUGCAUAGCCGACCUGAGAGGGUGAUCGGCCACACUGGAACUGAGACACGGUCCAGCCUCCUACGGGAGGCAGCAGUAGGGAAUCUUCCGCAAUGGGCGAAAGCCUGACGGAGCAACGCCGCGUGAGUGAUGAAGGUCUUCGGAUCGUAAAACUCUGUUAUUAGGGAAGAACAUAUGUGUAAGUAACUGUGCACAUCUUGACGGUACCUAAUCAGAAAGCCACGGCUAACUACGUG